Molecule: ribosomal RNA, 403 nt
Filed under: uncultured bacterium
Lineage: Bacteria
Description: partial 16S ribosomal RNA
Rfam family: Bacterial small subunit ribosomal RNA
Source: RNAcentral
GACGAACGCUGGCGGCGUGCCUAAUACAUGCAAGUCGAACGCAGUGGGGACGGGUGCGUAAAACGUGGGUAACCUCCCAUCAGAGGGGAUAACACUUGGCAACAGGCGCUAAACCGCUACUGGUGGAUGGACCCGCGGUGCCUUAGCUAGUGGGUGAGGUAACGGCUCACCAAGGCUACGAUGCAUAGCCGACCUGAGAGGGUGAUCGGCCACACUGGGACUGAGACACGGCCCAGACUCCUACGGGAGGCAGCAGUAGGGAAUCUUCGGCAAUGGACGAAAGUCUGACCGAGCAACGCCGCGGGAGUGAAGAAGGUUGUCGGAUCGUAAAACUCUGUUGUUAGAGAAGCGGUAUCUAACCAGAAAGCCACGGCUAACUACGUGCCAGCAGCCGCGGUAAUUC